CAUACGUACAUAUAUACACGUACAUGCAUACAUCUACAUAUCCCUCCUUAUCAAUGUACAUAGCCCUUAUUUUUUAAAAUAUUAUUUCCGCCUUUCAUUAACACUCUUAUGGUCAUUACAAGUCGAACUUUAAACUUGGUAGUUAGAACAGUCAAGUACUGCUAACUAUAGACGGUCUUGCUCAGUGUGUCUCAGGGCCAUCUUCAUUUUCUUCAUUUUUGAAAUCCUACUCAGCAAAAUGUCCAAGUACUUCAUGAAGUUUUCACAAUGAUUUUACGAGAACUAUGUAUGUUUCAAGAGGUAACUUUUAAUUUUUUUUGAUAACUAAGAGAAGGAAAGGUGUAUUCAUAUCACUUUUACGGGCUUCCGAGACAGACGUGCUGGAAAAGUUAUUCUUACACUGGAGAUAUGACUUGAAUAUUUGCAACAUAACGGCCUUCGCUAAAACGUACGCAAGGGCCACGUAGUGGUGUUAAAUCGGACGAAUGAGUAAGUCUAUUGCUUAAGAAUCUGAUGUUCACUGAAUCUUAUACUGAAUCUUUUGUUUAAUAUUUUGUUUAAUUCCUCGACUGAGUCAUCUAUGAUUUACAGUAGUGAUACCAAACCUUUUUGCACCGCCGACCGAGGGAACACACGCAUAACAGAACAUAACAAAGUGCACCAUAUAUAAUUUAAUUAUAUAUAUAUAUAUAACACAUAUAUUACAUAUGUAAUGCGACAACAUUUUCUAAGCAAACUUUGGAAGUUUUGAAUGUGUUUGGUAUUUUACAGACAAGAAAGAAAAUUUCGAGCACAGUAUAAUGUGAAAACAACAGAAAGAUUAGGUAUUUUUUCGUUUUAAAACGGUAAAAUAACUAAUCUUUCUGCUGUUUUGGCAGCUAUACUAUGUUCGAAAUUUACUUUUUUGCCUGUAAAAUGCAUAUGUAAUAUUUGUAUAAUACAAAAACACCCUGCAAACUGCGAUAAUCAGUAGUAGUAGGCAUCCAUUGGUCUCGAGAGGCCAUGGAUCAGAGGUGAUAGUCAGCAAAAUAGAAAUAAAACUAAAAAUUUAUUCUUUGUGUGGUCCAGUGCCAAAUGAUCUACAGCCUGGCAUUGAUUUGCGACCCGGCCUUGAAUUACAUAAUAUAAACCAUAUUUUUGCGUCUAUGUGUGAACUAUGUUCGUAUAUUUUCUUAUCUUCAGUACACACAUAUAGUACACACACAUACGUACACACAUAUAGUUGCACGCGCACAAUCACACUCACAUACACACAACUACAAUCGCAUAAAUCACAUGCAAAUGUAUACUUGCAUAAACACGCUUGCACGCGCACAGUGCUACACACACAUAAUAUAACAGAAUUUCGAACGAUCUUAUAUUGCAAUGGAUUUGCAGCCUAGCUGAUAAGAGUGUUAAAGUUCUCAGAAAGUCAGAAAUGCCAUUCACAACAAGGAAGCACAAGGAGACGGCAACCAUCUGUAAAGAUGGAACAGUUACUAUGUACCUUCGUACAUAUGUAUGUAUGUAUGUAUGUAUGUAUGUAUGUAUGUAUGUAUGUAUGUAUGUAUGUAUGUAUGUAUGUAUAACUAAGGAUUCUGAAACCGAAGUAAUUUAUUCAUAUACAAUUAGACAGAGCAAAAUGAACAAGAUAAGAUAAAAUAAAAUGAAUUAAACUGUUUAAUUAGUACAGAAAAUAAAUCAUUCCGGUAAUACUUCAUCAUUAGAAUAUAAAUACUCUGAAAAUGUUCAUAUCCUUUUUUGAGUCAUGGUUAGUUGCCGCUAGAUUAAAGCCUUUGGCAAGUUGCAGUGUUAUAUUGCACAGAAUCUUCAAAACGUAUCUACACUUCCCAAUUAGAUGAAUGAAGCUUAAGAAAAACAAAAAGAUCAUCAUAUGCAACCAAAAUAUGACGCAAGUUAAAUAUCAGUAUACUUUUUAAGCUUCACACAGGCACAUACACACAUGCAUAUAAACUCGAAAAUGAUCAUACUUAUAAUAUUAUUUACGCAUUUAAGAUUGAUAAUAAAAUCUGCGAACUUCAGCUAUGAAUAAUCUUUCAUUCUUAAACAUAACUCCCGCCUACCAAACGACUAUAUACAAAACAGAUAU
RNAcentral lists this long non-coding RNA (2089 nucleotides) under Octopus sinensis (East Asian common octopus). RNAcentral describes it as "uncharacterized LOC118765103". The record is from RNAcentral. Lineage: Eukaryota; Metazoa; Mollusca; Cephalopoda; Octopoda; Octopodidae.